This 463-nucleotide ribosomal RNA is filed under the name uncultured bacterium. RNAcentral describes it as "partial 16S ribosomal RNA". It matches the Rfam family "Bacterial small subunit ribosomal RNA", at positions 28 to 506 of the family's 1533-position model. The record is from RNAcentral.
GACGAACGCUGGCGGCGUGCUUAACACAUGCAAGUCGAACGGUAAGGCCCCAGCUUGCUGGGGUACACGAGUGGCGAACGGGUGAGUAACACGUGGGUGACCUGCCCCGCACUUCGGGAUAAGCCUGGGAAACUGGGUCUAAUACCGGAUAGGACCGCACCGUGAGGGUGUGGUGGAAAGUUUUUCGGUGUGGGAUGGGCCCGCGGCCUAUCAGCUUGUUGGUGGGGUAAUGGCCUACCAAGGCGGCGACGGGUAGCCGGCCUGAGAGGGUGGACGGCCACAUGGGGCUUGGGACGCGGCCCAGGCCCCAACGGGGGGAAGCGGGGGGGAAUAUUGCACAAGGGGGGGAGGCCUGAGGCAGCGCCGCCGGGGGGGGGAGGACGGCCUUCGGGUGGAAAACCCCUUUCCCCAUCGACGAAGGUUUUCGGAGGGUAGUGGGAAAAGAAGCCCCGGCUAACUCCGU